CUUGACCGAACCCAGCCACAGCGGCGCGUUGCGGUCACGGCCGUAGGUGGCCAGCAGGGCCUGCGCCUC
RNAcentral lists this antisense RNA (69 nucleotides) under Kutzneria viridogrisea DSM 43870. RNAcentral's name for it is "Kutzneria albida DSM 43870 ASpks TB sRNA". It matches the Rfam family "ASpks TB sRNA". Lineage: Bacteria; Bacillati; Actinomycetota; Actinomycetes; Pseudonocardiales; Pseudonocardiaceae. The record is from Rfam by way of RNAcentral.